This 253-nucleotide ribosomal RNA is filed under the name uncultured bacterium. Its description in RNAcentral is "partial 16S ribosomal RNA". It matches the Rfam family "Bacterial small subunit ribosomal RNA", at positions 524 to 776 of the family's 1533-position model. The record is from RNAcentral.
UACGAAGGGGGCUAGCGUUGUUCGGAAUUACUGGGCGUAAAGCGCGCGCAGGCGGUCUUCCAAGUCAGUGGUGAAAGCCCGGAGCUCAACUCCGGAACUGCCAUUGAAACUGUUUAGCUUGAGGACGAGAGAGGUGAGUGGAAUUCCCAGUGUAGAGGUGAAAUUCGUAGAUAUUGGGAAGAACACCGGUGGCGAAGGCGGCUCACUGGCUCGUAUCUGACGCUCAGGCGCGACAGCGUGGGGAUCAAACAGG